UCUAUUUUGAUAAAUACAUGAAAUAAAAAUUUAAACUACCAAAAAUACUGGCAGAAAAUCGAAAAUGUGGUUGUUUUACCUAUCAACCUUGCUAUCGGUGCCACUCCGCAUCUCCUCCAUCUGAUGGCGGAUAUGAGCUAGUUCAGCUUCUUUCGUCUGCACUAGAAUCCGCAGAAUUCAGAAAAAGAAAAUUAUAUUAUAUGAAACAUUAUUUUCCCUUGUUCUAUUUCACUUUCAGAAUGAAAAAACAAAAAAAAAUUCGGACGAAAUCUGGAUACCACUAACUAUGGUUUUGGACAAAGACGGCGAGGUAUUCCCGGUGAGAGUGUUACAAUGGUACUGGUACCAUGCACAUACAACCAGUACCUGAUGUAAUACUCACGGACGGGAAUACCAAAAUCAAGGGUGUGAAUUUAACAAACCUCGGCAUGCCUUACCACGAUGCAGAAUAACUGGUUUAUGCAAACAUGCAUCUUCGAGUAACGCAACUCAAACAAACAUAACAGAAUUUAGGAACGGAGGAUGGAUUUCGGGUCGGGGAAUUACGAGACGACAGGCCGGCUCGCAGACGUCCCGAAGACACCAAGAAAAAUAGCUGAUAGGAAACACGAUAUGUCAUCGAACUGGGCUGGUCGGUUAGAGGUUAGUAGCUACUGGGGUGAUCGCCUGGCCACCCCAGACGGCAAUUCGGGUACUGGGUUUUGGAAAAUCACGCAGGUGCGUGAAAAACCAUUUCCAUCAAGAAAUUUCCCCAUUCUUCUCCAAAUUACCGUAUGAGAUUUCCAGGCGAAAGCCAUCGCUCAAAGUAAUAGAUUAAAAAAAAAUAAUAAAUAAAUAAAAUGAAAAAAAAAAAAAAAAUGAAUAAAAAUAAUCUCUUGUGAGAUUUGAUAUAAAG
Long non-coding RNA from Daphnia magna, 895 nucleotides. RefSeq lists it as uncharacterized. NCBI's taxonomy places the organism in Eukaryota, Metazoa, Arthropoda, Branchiopoda, Diplostraca, Daphniidae. The record is from RefSeq and is a predicted model, not a curated record. The transcript has 2 exons.